CCCUUAGAUGUUCUGGGCCGCACGCGCGCUACACUGAUGCAUUCAACGAGCCUAUCCUUGACCGACAGGUCCGGGUAAUCUUUGAAUCUGCAUCGUGACGGGGAUAGAUUAUUGCAAUUAUUAAUCUUCAACGAGGAAUGCCUAGUAGGCGCAAGUCAUCAGCUUGCGUCGAUUACGUCCCUGCCCUUUGUACACACCGCCCGUCGCUCCUACCGAUUGAGUGGUCCGGUGAGGCUUUGGGAUCUGAGCGGAAAGAGUGUUUCGCUGUUUCUGCUCGGAAAACUCAGUCGAACCUCAUCAUUUAGAGGAAGGAGAAGUCGUAACA
This 325-nucleotide ribosomal RNA is filed under the name uncultured eukaryote. RNAcentral describes it as "partial 18S ribosomal RNA". It matches the Rfam family "Eukaryotic small subunit ribosomal RNA", at positions 1470 to 1796 of the family's 1831-position model. The record is from RNAcentral.